CACCGUUUGUCCGUCAUCUGUCCACUGCUGGACUCAGAUUGGUCAUCAUGCCAGCAUUUAUCAGAAGCUUGUGCCAUGAUGCCACCCCCUGAUCUGACUUUUCAAGCCCACUCCACGUCCCUCAGAGACUUUUAGGGACAGACCUCAAGAUCAACCCCUGAGACAUCAUGCAAGAAAACUCCAGUACAUGUGUUUGUGUGCCUCCCUUUUUUAUGCACUCCUAACGCAACAGAACUGAUGUUGCGUAACGCAAAUAAGACCCCUGAUAGUUAUUAUUCUAGACCUCAAUCUCCUGAUAUGACACACAAUUUUUAAAUAUCAUUUUUCGUUGGUACUUCUUGUGGUUGGAAGCUGUUAUUGUGCAAUGACCCAGUGCUCUGAUAGGCAACUGCUGAUUGUGGGCUCAGAAUACGGAUAUUGUUAGGCAGAAAGAGAGAUGUGGGCUCCAAAAACAAGAAAACCGCACAUUGUGUCCAGGUGCACCUCAUACAGUUGUCAUGGUUUUGAGCUUGAUCAAACAGAGUGUAGGAAGACCAAAGUCCACACCAAUGGUUUGGUCAGCAAACAGCUUAUCAUAAACUGUAACUUUUGUCUGAGGACACACAGAAUUAGAUCAUUUCAGCACUCUUAGUCUCUAUUAAAUAUUCUUUUUAUAGGACA
Molecule: long non-coding RNA, 660 nt
Filed under: Danio rerio (zebrafish)
Lineage: Eukaryota; Metazoa; Chordata; Actinopteri; Cypriniformes; Danionidae
Description: lncRNA si:dkey-27k4.5 (ENSDARG00000105580.2)
Source: RNAcentral